RNAcentral lists this ribosomal RNA (1155 nucleotides) under uncultured organism. RNAcentral describes it as "bacterial SSU rRNA". It matches the Rfam family "Bacterial small subunit ribosomal RNA", at positions 48 to 1238 of the family's 1533-position model. The record is from RNAcentral.
CUUAUGCAUGCAAGUCGAGCGAUGAGACUCCUACGGGAGCACAUCAGCGGCAGACGGGUGAGUAACACGUAGAUGACGUACCCUCAAGACGGGGAUAACGGAUGGAAACAUGCGCUAAUACCGGAUGACCUUACGAUGUCAGAAUGGUAAGGAAAGCUACGGCGCUUGAGGAGCGGUCUGCGGCCCAUCAGCUAGUUGGUAGGGUAAAGGCCUACCAAGGCGAAGACGGGUAGGGGGUGUGAGAGCACGGCCCCCCACAAUGGGACUGAGACACGGCCCAUACUCCUACGGGAGGCAGCAGCAGGGAAUAUUGCACAAUGGACGGAAGUCUGAUGCAGCGACGCCGCGUGAGUGAAGAAGGCCUUCGGGUUGUAAAACUCUUUUGAGGGGGAAGAGCGAGGACGGUACCCCUGGAAUAAGCGUCGGCUAACUACGUGCCAGCAGCCGCGGUAAGACGUAGGACGCGAGCGUUAUCCGGAUUUACUGGGCGUAAAGCGUCUGUAGGCGGAUGUGUAAGUUGGGCGUGAAAGCUCCGGGCUUAACCCGGAGAGGCCGUUCAAUACUGCAUAACUUGAGGGUGUCAGAGGGGAGCGGAAUUCCCGGUGUAGCGGUAAAAUGCGCAGAGAUCGGGAGGAACACCAGUGGCGGAGGCGGUUCCCUGGGGCACACCUGACGCUGAGAGACGAAAGCUAGGGGAGCGAACAGGAUUAGAGACCCUGGUAGUCCUAGCCCUAAACGAUGAAUGCUAGGUGUGGGAUCGAAUGGUUCCGUGCCGGAGCGAACGCGAUAAGCAUUCCGCCUGGGGAGUACGGCCGCAAGGUUAAAACUCAAACGAAUUGACGGGGCCCCGCACAAGCAGCGGAGCGUGUGGUUUUAAUUCGAUGCUACAACGAAGAACCUUACCUGGGUUUGACAUGUAGGUGGUAGUGAAUCGAGAGGUGAACGACCCUUCGGGGAGCUUACACAGGUGCUGCAUGGCUGUCGUCAGCUCGUGCCGUGAGGUGUCGGGUUAAGUCCCGUAACGAGCGCAACCCUUGCUCCUAGUUUACAAGUGUCUAGGGGGACUGCCGGCGGAAAGCCGGAGGAAGGUGGGGGAUGACGUCAAGUCAGCAUGGCCCUUAUAUCCAGGCAUACACACACGCUACAAUGGUCGGU